GACCUGUAGUGCUAGUUAAUAUGGGUUGAGAGAAGAUGACCUGUAGUGCUAGUAAAGAUGGGUUGAGAGAAGAUGACCUGUGGUGCUAGUUAAGAUGGGUUGAGAGAAGAUGACCUGUAGUGCUAGUUAAUAUGGGUUGAGAGAAGAUGACCUGUAGUGCUAGUAAAGAUGGGUUGAGAGAAGAUGACCUGUGGUGCUAGUUAAGAUGGGUUGAGAGAAGAUGACCUGUAGUGCUAGUUAAUAUGGGUUGAGAGAAGAUGACCUGUAGUGCUAGUAAAGAUGGGUUGAGAGAAGAUGACCUGUGGUGCUAGUUAAGAUGGGUUGAGAGAAGAUGACCUGUAGUGCUAGUUAAUAUGGGUUGAGAGAAGAUGACCUGUAGUGCUAGUAAAGAUGGGUUGAGAGAAGAUGACCUGUGGUGCUAGUUAAGAUGGAUUGAGUGAAGAUGACCAGUAGUGCUAGUUAAGAUGGGUUGAGAGAAGAUGACCUGUAGUGCUAGUUAAUAUGGGUUGAGAGAAGAUGACCUGUAGUGCUAGUAAAGAUGGGUUGAGAGAAGAUGACCUGUGGUGCUAGUUAAGAUGGGUUGAGAGAAGAUGACCUGUAGUGCUAGUUAAUAUGGGUUGAGAGAAGGUGACCUGUAGUGCUAGUUAAGAUGGGUUGAGAGAAGAUGACCUGUAGUGCUAGUUAAUAUGGGUUGAGAGAAGAUGACCUGUAGUGCUAGUAAAGAUGGGUUGAGAGAAGAUGACCUGUGGUGCUAGUUAAGAUGGGUUGAGUGAAGAUGACCUGUAGUGCUAGUAAAGAUGGGUUGAGAGAAGGUGACCUGUAGUGCUAGUUAAGAUGGGUUGAGAGAAGAUGACCUGUAGUGCUAGUUAAUAUGGGUUGAGAGAAGAUGACCUGUAGUGCUAGUAAAGAUGGGUUGAGAGAAGAUGACCUGUGGUGCUAGUUAAGAUGGGUUGAGAGAAGAUGACCUGUGGUGCUAGUUAAGAUGGGUUGAGAGAAGAUGACCUGUAGUGCUAGUUAAUAUGGGUUGAGAGAAGAUGACCUGUAGUGCUAGUAAAGAUGGGUUGAGAGAAGAUGACCUGUGGUGCUAGUUAAGAUG
Molecule: long non-coding RNA, 1096 nt
Organism: Xyrauchen texanus (razorback sucker)
Lineage: Eukaryota; Metazoa; Chordata; Actinopteri; Cypriniformes; Catostomidae
Exons: 4
Source: RefSeq, a predicted model, not a curated record